UCAAAUCGAUAACCAAUAUUUUUCUUUUGAUAAAUUAAAUUAUCACUUGAUUUCUCCUGUCAUACAAAAGAUAAACAAACAAAUCAGCGAAAAUGUGGAUUUUUAAAGUGUACCCAAGAAAAUGUGCAACCCGUUUAAAACAAAAUUACAUCGAUUGUACGUGCGGUAAAUCGUUCCUCGUAGCAACAGACAUCUUCCAAACCUCCGGUAACAACAAAUCCCGCUAGGCAGCACCAGAGAACACCCCAGUCCACAUUGGAUAUAGCUCCUGAUUUUUCGUCAGAUAUGAAACUGACGACCAGCAAUAAGAGAGGAGGGCCGACGUUGCAAAUAGAACCUGAGGUUCAUGGUGACAAAUUUGUGAUUUUCACCAACUAAGGAAUCAAUCAGGUAUAUUUGGAGAAAACCACAUCACUCUGGACCACGUUUUGGACCGCUUUGGCGUUAUCAUGAGAUAGGAUCGCACGAUAUCGGGAGAGUCAGUCCCUGUUUGCUGAUACAACUUCGGAAAUGGUGAUUAAAUUCCUGUAGUGCAUAUUCAGAUUAGUGUAAAUAAAACUUGGAAUAAAGUUCAGUUUAUUAUGCAGCUGUUUAUGUUUAUGUUUGAUUUGAAAUAAAAAUCCGGCUGAAAAAU
Molecule: long non-coding RNA, 634 nt
Organism: Culex quinquefasciatus (southern house mosquito)
Lineage: Eukaryota; Metazoa; Arthropoda; Insecta; Diptera; Culicidae
Exons: 3
Source: RefSeq, a predicted model, not a curated record